AUCGACGAAAAAAUCCCCCACGCCGCCAUCGCUCCCCAGCCGCCGUCGUCGAUCCACCACCGUCGCUGCCCCCUGCCGCCGUCGAUCCACCGCAGACCUCCGCCGCCGUGCCACUAGCAGGAGGAAGGAGGCCGCCGUCGCAGAAGCUCGUCCUGUCGCCCUCCGUUGACCCCGAGGAUCCCUUCACGGCGGCGCAGUACGAGGAGUUGGAGCACCAGGCGCUCAUCUACAAGUACCUCGUCGCAGGCGUGCCCGUCCCGCCGGAUCUCCUCCUCCCCAUCCGCUGGGGCUUCGACUCCCUCGCCGCGCGCUUCUACCACCACCCCGCCCAUGACGUACUAUGUCGUCUACCACGGCAGGGUUCCUGGAGUCUACGAGGACUGGGAAGACUGUAGGAGGCAGGUCCACCGUUUCAGCGGCAACAGCUACAAGGGGUACACCACUUUGGAGGAGGCGGAAACUCGAUACGCCAACUUUCGAGCGGGACGAGAGGAGGGAGAUGUGGAGGACCCCUUUCAUCGUGAUGAUGCUUGCCGCUACCGCCUCUCUAGUUUACUAUGUCAUUGUUGUUUAGCUAGGUCGUCGACUGGACUUAUAUGUAUUUCUGUAACAUGUGCUACUUCGAGUCGUGAUGGUUGAACCAUAUGGUCGACACUUGUGUUAUUGAUGCAUGCAUGUUAUCGACAUUUCGGGACUUUCUAAUGAUGUGU
Lolium perenne is the source of this 710-nucleotide non-coding RNA. Lineage: Eukaryota; Viridiplantae; Streptophyta; Magnoliopsida; Poales; Poaceae. The record is from RefSeq and is a predicted model, not a curated record.